GUGCGGACUACCAGGGUAUCUAAUCCUGUUUGAUACCCGCACCUUCGAGCUUAAGCGUCAGUUGCGCUCCCGUCAGCUGCCUUCGCAAUCGGAGUUCUUCGUCAUAUCUAAGCAUUUCACCGCUACACGACGAAUUCCGCCAACGUUGUGCGUACUCAAGGAAACCAGUAUGCGCUGCAAUUCAGACGUUGAGCGUCUACAUUUCACAACACACUUAAUCUCCAGCCUACGCUCCCUUUAAACCCAAUAAAUCCGGAUAACGCCUGGACCUUCCGUAUUACCGCGGCUGCUGGCACGGAAUUAGCCGGUCCUUAUUCGUAUGGUACCUGCAAAUAGGGACACGUCCCUAACUUUAUCCCCAUACAAAAGCAGUUUACAACCCAUAGGGCCGUCAUCCUGCACGCUACUUGGCUGGUUCAGACUUCCGUCCAUUGACCAAUAUUCCUCACUGCUGCCUCCCGUAGGAGUUUGGACCGUGUCUCAGUUCCAAUGUGGGGGACCUUCCUCUCAGAACCCCUACUGAUCGUUGCCUUGGUGGGCCGUUACCCCGCCAACAAGCUAAUCAGACGCAUCCCCAUCCAUUACCGAUAAAUCUUUACUUCAAAUCUGAUGCCGUCAUCGAAGACUAUGCGGUAUUAGUCUGCCUUUCGGCAGGUUAUCCCACAGUAAUGGGAAGGUUGGAUACGCGUUACUCACCCGUGCGCCGGUCGACGUCCAAAGAGUGCAAGCACUCAAUGCCGUUUCCCCUCGACUUGCAUGUGUUAAGCCUGUAGCUAGCGUUCAUCCUGAGCCAGGAUCAAACCCUG
RNAcentral lists this ribosomal RNA (806 nucleotides) under uncultured bacterium. RNAcentral's name for it is "partial 16S ribosomal RNA". The record is from RNAcentral.